UUUCUCCACCUGUAAAGUGGACAGCCUCAUGCCCCUUCUGAGUCAGCAGCAGCCAACAGAAACGCCUUCCCCAGAGGUUCCCUCUCAUACUUAGUCUCCAUAUAUAUAGUUUUAAGAUAUAUCACACAUGUUCUAUAUAAUAGCUAAAAGCCAGACUCGCUGAGGAAAGUAGAAAUAGAAGUUAGCAUGCAAAUCCGGAGAUUUUCUAAUCAUGUGUGGUGAAUUUCAGUUGGAUUUCUUGACAGAAGACUGUUCAGCAGAGCUGGCUGCGUGGUGGAGACCUCACAGAUUUUCCGUCUCUCGCAGCUCAGAAGGCGGAGUCACAAAACGCUGUGCACACUCCCUUAGGUAACGUGAGUUUGAGCUAACGAAAGAUCCAGAAGGACCUUCUGACAUAUUUGUCACCCAAGAAUCAACAAACAGCUGGCCUCUAUUCAAUCUGGGUCAUCGGUCUCAAUACCAAAAGGCAAGUGUAAACUCAAGGCAGCCCCUAAUAAACGUUCCACAGUUCCCCAUAAUUCUCUUCUCUGAGUUUGCCCAUUCUCUCCUUUGUUUUCCCCAACCAUAGCUGGUUCCUUUACGGUGCCCUCAGUGCUCCUCUCUCCCCAUCUCCUGUGUUUCCCAGAACAGGCUACCCCUUGAUAGUGAUGUUCAGAGAACUUUCUCGUGCUUUGCCGGUUUUACAACCUCUACCUGCACAAUGAAUGUCAAAAAUCCCCCACCUCUACCGUUUUCUGCUAGCUCUGCAGUGGGGUUGAGGAGUGCAGUGACGGAAAGGAAGAAGAGCUUUCGACUCUUUGGACUAGAGUUAGAAUUUGUUUAAUUCUCAAAACUUCCCUGGGUCUACUUGACAAAUUUGCUUUACACUUUUUCAAUAUUUUUACUUUACUCCAUGUGAACUAAGAAUCCUGACUUUCAUCUU
Molecule: long non-coding RNA, 922 nt
Filed under: Ursus thibetanus thibetanus
Lineage: Eukaryota; Metazoa; Chordata; Mammalia; Carnivora; Ursidae
Description: lncRNA (ENSUTTG00000011901.1)
Source: RNAcentral